RNAcentral lists this ribosomal RNA (422 nucleotides) under uncultured Bacteroidota bacterium. RNAcentral describes it as "uncultured Bacteroidetes bacterium partial 16S ribosomal RNA". It matches the Rfam family "Bacterial small subunit ribosomal RNA", at positions 355 to 774 of the family's 1533-position model. Lineage: Bacteria; Pseudomonadati; Bacteroidota. The record is from RNAcentral.
UGAGGAAUAUUGGUCAAUGGGCGCAAGCCUGAACCAGCCAUGCCGCGUGCAGGAAGACGGCGCUAUGCGUUGUAAACUGCUUUUGUACGAGGGUAAUUUUGGGUACGUGUACCUAAUUGAAAGUAUCGUACGAAUAAGGAUCGGCUAACUCCGUGCCAGCAGCCGCGGUAAUACGGAGGAUUCGAGCGUUAUCCGGAUUUAUUGGGUUUAAAGGGUGCGUAGGCGGUUCGGUAAGUUAGUCGUUAAAUCGUGGGGCUCAACCCCACAAUGGCGAUUGAUACUGUCGGGCUGGAGAUAGGAUGCUGUGGGCGGAAUGUGUAGUGUAGCGGUGAAAUGCUUAGAUAUUACACAGAACACCGAUUGCGAAGGCAGCUCACAAAUCCUUAUCUGACGCUGAGGCACGAAAGCGUGGGGAUCAAACA